AUUGAACGCUGGCGGCAGGCCUAACACAUGCAAGUCGAACGGCAGCACAGAAGAGCUUGCUCUUUGGGUGGCGAGUGGCGGACGGGUGAGUAAUGUCUGGGAAACUGCCCGAUGGAGGGGGAUAACUACUGGAAACGGUAGCUAAUACCGCAUAACGUCGCAAGACCAAAGUGGGGGACCUUCGGGCCUCACACCAUCGGAUGUGCCCAGAUGGGAUUAGCUAGUAGGUGGGGUAAUGGCUCACCUAGGCGACGAUCCCUAGCUGGUCUGAGAGGAUGACCAGCCACACUGGAACGGAGACACGGUCCAGACUCCUACGGGAGGCAGCAGGGGGGAAUAUUGCACAAUGGGCGCAAGCCUGAUGCAGCCAUGCCGCGUGUAUGAAGAAGGCCUUCGGGUUGUAAAGUACUUUCAGCGGGGAGGAAGGCAGUGAGGUUAAUAACCUCGCCGAUUGACGUUACCCGCAGAAGAAGCACCGGCUAACUCCGUGCCAGCCGCCGCCGUAA
RNAcentral lists this ribosomal RNA (506 nucleotides) under uncultured bacterium. Its description in RNAcentral is "partial 16S ribosomal RNA". It matches the Rfam family "Bacterial small subunit ribosomal RNA", at positions 29 to 523 of the family's 1533-position model. The record is from RNAcentral.